UUCCCAGACUCCUACGGGAGGCAGCAGUAGGGAAUCUUUCACAAUGGGCGAAAGCCUGAUGGAGCAACGCCGCGUGCAGGAUGAAGGCCUUCGGGUUGUAAACUGCUUUUAUAAGCGAGAAAUAUGAUGGUAACUUAUGAAUAAGGAUCGGCUAACUACGUGCCAGCAGCCGCGGUAAUACGGAGGGUGCGAGCGUUAAUCGGAAUUACUGGGCGUAAAGCGCUCGUAGGCGGUAUGUCAAGUCAAGGGUGAAAUCCCCGCGCUCAACGUGGGAACUGCCUUUGAAACUGGCAAACUGGAGUGUGUGAGAGGAUGGUGGAAUUCCAGGUGUAGGAGUGAAAUCCGUAGAUAUCUGGAGGAACAUCAGUGGCGAAGGCGACUAUCUGGCACAUAACUGACGCUGAGGAGCGAAAGCGUGGGUAGCAAACAGGAUUAGAUACCCUUGUA
This 447-nucleotide ribosomal RNA is filed under the name uncultured bacterium. RNAcentral's name for it is "bacterial SSU rRNA". It matches the Rfam family "Bacterial small subunit ribosomal RNA", at positions 328 to 792 of the family's 1533-position model. The record is from RNAcentral.